RNAcentral lists this ribosomal RNA (253 nucleotides) under uncultured bacterium. RNAcentral describes it as "partial 16S ribosomal RNA". It matches the Rfam family "Bacterial small subunit ribosomal RNA", at positions 524 to 776 of the family's 1533-position model. The record is from RNAcentral.
UACGUAGGGGGCAAGCGUUGUCCGGAUUUACUGGGCGUAAAGAGCGUGUAGGCGGCCAAGCAGGUCCGUUGUGAAAACUGGAGGCUUAACCUCCAGACGUCGACGGAAACCGCGUGGCUAGAGUCCGGAAGAGGAGAGUGGAAUUCCUGGUGUAGCGGUGAAAUGCGCAGAUAUCAGGAAGAACACCAAUGGCGAAGGCAGCUCUCUGGGACGGUACUGACGCUGAGGCGCGAAAGCUAGGGUAGCGAACGGG